UUUAAUCCAAAUAUACACUCUAUCACACCAAUUGCACCGCAUUUCAAAGUUAAAUUUUAUUCAACAAUACACUUCAUAAAUUCGUAAACACAUUUUCUUACCAUAUUGUUUAUCUGUUGUGUUUUAAUCUUUCAUGUCUUGAGAGGUUUGAACUAAUUAGUAAAAAUUGGUUACUUUUACUUUUGUUUUAAUCUUUCAUGUCAUUCAAGAUUUGAACAAUAUGGUAAUACUGAUUAGUUUUUUUUAAUCUAAAAUGCUUACUAAAUAUGCUAGGAGGACAAUACAACACAUUUUCUACCACUAUAUAAAGGACACUAUUGUUUAAUUGAUGUAAGGAGAGUUUGAACUUUAAAAGAUAUAAAUUGAUAAAACUAUUUCUUAAAUACAAAGGAAGAAAAAUGGCUGGAAUUAUCAAGUUUAUUCUUACUAUAAUUAUCUUUAUUUCUCUAUUGAUGGUGCCAUCCAACGCUGCAAGUAAGUUAAUUUUUUAAGAUUUAAAAAAUUUCCUUGUUACUUUGUACACAAUGUUUUAUCAAAUAUUAGCUAAACUUUUAUUCUUAUUUUUUCAAUAUAGAAACUGUUAAAUGUAUACAAGAUACAGAUUGUUUACAAUAUCAUAGGUGUAUGCCACCAAUGCUAAUGAAGUGUGACAAUAAACAAUGUAGAUGUGUUCCAGUGACCUAUUUCAUUCGUUAUGUUCCCGUAUGAUUCUUCAUAUUAAGUUCUCAUAUGGUUCUGCAUUUAGUGUUGUACCUAAGAGAUUAUUGUAUUGCUAUAUUAUAAUUUGUUUUUUUAUUUUUCAUUUCAAGAAUUUUGUAGUUAAGUUUAAUUUUAUUUAAAUCGAGUUCUUCUCUUUUAAUUUCAAAAUAUAUUCAUAGAUUUCAUUCCAGGUAUGUAUCAUGGUCAUUUCAAUCCUACCAUCUAUUAGAAUAAUACGUGUAAUAGUUAAGUUGAAUAACUGUUAUAUUGCUUAUAAGUCUGCACGUUUUUUUACAUGUUCAUGUUAUAGUAUCAAUACACUUCCCACCUUCAAUUUUCAUUUCUCUUAUAUUUUAAAUCUUUUAUUGGUCUCAUAUGUACUAUUCAAUUUUAAAAGAUAUGAAAAUAUAGAUAUUCACUAUAAAAAUGUAAAAAUCUAUUGUUAUAAGUGCAUAUUUUAUAGAAGAUUUGUUUAUGUUUCUACUUACUAACUAAAUAUAAUGUGUGGUUAAUAUAUUUUCUAUUUCAAAAGAAAUCUCGUAUAACUAAAUUGAAUUAGAUUAUGUAAGGUUAUAAUUUAUUAUAAAAUUUACAUGUAAUUUAAAAUGAAUAUGUUUCAAAAGACGUUUUUUUAUAUCUUUAAUUUUCUAUGAUUUUGUUGGGUUUUUUUUGAGAGGGGUAUAUAAAUUUGCAUUAUUAUUAUUAUUAUUAUUUUUAUUUUCUAAUUUUUAUAUUUAAAUUGGGGUGUGAGUUUUCUGGUGAGUAUGGGUGGUUGAGAGUUUCGUUAAAUUUAAAUUUAUUAAAUGAUUUAGAUUAUAAAAAAAAGUGUGAGAUAGAUGAAAAUGUAAGGUUUGGGAGAUAAGAAUUUUUUUUAACUGCGUCACAUGUAUAUGUGUGUGAUCAUAUAUGUAUUAAUUGUUUUGAUAUUACAUAUAAUUGGAUAUAAAGGUAAGCUAAUGGAUUAUCAUAGUAUAUUGUUUGUCCAUAACAAUUUAAUUUUGAAGAGUCAUAGUACAUCUUAAAAAACAACAUAGUAAACAUUGUUGUUUGUAAAAAAAAUUAGUGACAGUUAAGAAGAAUUUUUAUAAGGUUCCACAUAAUUAAUGAACUAGAAUAUAAAUAUAAUACAACCUAAGAGUACAUUAAUGAGCUUUGAAUAUGUACUAAUAUACACACAAAAAAGAUAUAAAUUAUGACAUAUCAUCUACAAAAUGAUUUUAACCUUUUGAAAUUUAUAGACCAUGACCAAAACCACCGGCUCACCUCCAAAAGAAUAACACUAAGUUAGCAUCAUAUAUGGAUUAUAAUAUGUUUGACACGCCACACACAAGAGGGAGUGACUCUUGGAUUUAAGAAAAGCAUCUUAUGUUAUCAUUUUUAAAGUUUAAAAAUAUCUUGAUUAAAAUAUUUAUAAAUUAGCAACGGAAAGUAAAUAUGUGAAAAAUUAAGAGUUAAGGGUAAGAGAAAUGAAAACAAAUAUUUAAACAGGUUCAAUCAAGAAGACUUAUUCAUGUCCAUAAUAUUUGAUCUUAAGAGUAUUCAGUAAUACUUAGAGAGUUUUGAGUAGGUUAAAAUCUUGAACCCACUAAUACAAGAAAAAAUGAAGUUUCAAAUUAACUUUCAACCAAACAAUGAACGAUGGAGUGAAGUGGUUAGUCUUCCUUCCAAAGAACGAACUUGAAGUGAUUAGUCUCAAAGCUAAAUCGUGAUUUUCUAUGGACUUGUCUCGAACCAAUAUGAGUUUUUAAUCUAACUAAAUUGGGGUUUUGACCAGACUGACCAUGAACCAAGAUGAGAUUUUUAAUCAUGCUUAUCUUGAACCCAAGUGAGUUUUUAACCAUGUUUAAAUCAUGAACUGAGUUGAUAUUUUGAAUAUGGUUGAUACCAAGCCAAAGUAAGCUUUUAACGUGGGUUGAGCUUAAAAGCCGAACUGACGACUUAGAAACUAAAUCUCCAAACCAAAGCUUUUAAAGGGUUUAACUUUUAAAGAGUGAUGAAUGAGAUACAAGGAUUACUUUUAUGGAUAUGAAAAUGUGAAAGAAAAUGCCUCUAUUUAUAGGCUAAAGCUUUGAUCAAAAAAGGAAAUAUCCAUGAGCCUAAAUUAAUGAGCCAAUCGAUUGACUUCUUGUCCCAACUAAUUGAGAGGCAAAAAUAAACGAUCAUAAAUGCUUAAAAUGGAAAUAAUAGAUACAUAGUUGUUUCCCUUUAUUAAGACAUUGUAACAAUUGAUAAGAACAUCUCUUGCACUAACCUAAUCGAUUGUGUAUACGUGUCAAUCUAUUGGACAAUUCAAAAACAUAUCCAAAACUAUUCUGACAUUUCCUUAUUCAACUAGAACGUCUCUAUAAAAAAUUUAGGAAUGUUUUCUUAAGAAAUAGAGGUUUAAAAAAUUAUGUGUGUGUAUGUAUGUGUGUGUGUGUGAGUGUAAUAUGCUCUUAAAUAUAUUUUGAAUGAUGUCAAUACUAGGUAGUUUAGAUCUUUGUGUAUUUGGACCUUACAAUCUUUGUGAAAAUGUGCAUCAUCAUCAUAGAAUAUGUAAGAUUAGAUUACAUAAGUCAUCAUAUGCCAAAAUAUAAGUUUUUCACAAAACAAUCAUGCAUGGGUCGAUAUAACCUCAGUAUGGGUCGAUACAUACUGAGUGGAAUUUCAAAGAAUUUGGAUCUGCCUUGAAUGGGUUGAUAUAAGGGAGAAAUCGGUUGAUAUAUUAUGCUUAAUGGGUUGACUCAUUCUUGCUUGGGUCGACUCAAUCUGAAAGAUGUUUUCAGAAUUUUCCACUGCCUCUAAUGGGUCAAUACAAAGUUGAAAUGGUUCAAUAUAUUAGGCGAAUGGGUCGACUCUCCUGUGUUUGGAGUGGACUCAUUCUGAAACAUUUAUUUCCCAAAUUAGCUACUGCCUCUAACGUAUCGACUCUAUUUGGUAUCGUAUUGACUCACUCAACUUAUGUAUUGACUCAUUCAAGUUUAGAGUCAAUACAUUAUGAACUAUCAAAAACACAUACCUUCACGGUUGGCAAAGAUGUAUAAUCACUAAGGACCACCUGUUGUUAAGUAGUGUGUGGUUUGUUAAUGGCCAAAUUGUGUAAAUAAUCCAUAGUAUUUUGUGGCUCUUUUCACUUAAUCUAAAUGGAAUAUCUUGUUAGAACCUUAGUUUUAAGUGUAAAUAUGUAGGUUUUAACAUUAUCAUGUAAAUAUCUUUUGUUUGAUCAUUUUGAUGCAAAUUUGUAGGCUUCAAAGCCUAUUGGAAAAAUAAACAAUGUAGAUGUGUUCCAGUGACCUAUUUCAUUCGUUAUGUUCCCGUAUGAUUCUUCAUAUUAAGUUCUCAUAUGGUUCUGCAUUUAGUGUUGUACCUAAGAGAUUAUUGUAUUGCUAUAUCAUAAUUUGUUUUUUUAUUUUUCAUUUCAAGAAUUUUGUAGUUAAGUUUAAUUUUAUUUAAAUCGAGUUCUUCUCUUUUAAUUUCAAAAUAUAUUCAUAGAUUUCAUUCCAGGUAUGUAUCAUGGUCAUUUCAAUCCUACCAUCUAUUAGAAUAACACGUGUAAUAGUUAAGUUGAAUAAUUGUUAUAUUGCUUAUAAGUCUGCACGUUUUUUUACAUGUUCAUGUUAUAGUAUCAAUACACUUCCCACCUUCAAUUUUCAUUUCUCUUAUAUUUUAAUUCUUUUAUUGGUCUCAUAUGUACUAUUCAAUUUUAAAAGAUAUGAAAAUAUAGAUAUUCACUAUAAAAAUGUAAAAAUCUAUUGUUAUAAGUGCAUAUUUAAUAGAAGAUUUGUUUAUGUUUCUACUUACUAACUAAAUAUAAUGUGUGGUUAAUAUAUUUUCUAUUUCAAAAGAAAUCUCGUAUAACUAAAUUGAAUUAGAUUAUUGUAAGGUUAUAAUGUAUUAUAAAAUUUACAUGUAAUUUAAAAUGAAUAUGUUUCAAAAGACGUUUUUUUAUAUCUUUAAUUUUCUAUGAUUUUGUUGGGUUUUUUUUUAGAGGGGUAUAUAAAUUUGCGUUAUUAUUAUUAUUAUUAUUAUUAUUAUUUUUAUUUUCUAAUUUUUAUAUUUAAAUUGGGGUGUGAGUUUUCUAGUGAGUAUGGAUGGUUGAGAGUUUCGUUAAAUUUAAAUUUAUUAAAUGAUUUAGAUUAUAAAAAAAAAGUGUGAGAUAGAUGAAAAUGCAAGGUUUGGGAGAUAAGAAUUGUUUUUAACUGCGUCACAUGUAUAUGUGUGUGUGAUCAUAUAUGUAUUAAUUGUUUUGAUAUUACAUAUAAUUGGAUAUAAAGGUAAGCUAAUGGAUAAUCAUAGUAUAUUGUUUGUCCAUAACAAUUUAAUUUUGAAGAGUCAUAGUACAUCUUAAAAAACAACAUAGUAAACAUUGUUGUUUGUAAAAAAAAUUAGUGACAGUUAAGAAGAAUUUUUAUAAGGUUCCACAUAAUUAAUGAACUAGAAUAUAAAUAUAAUACAACCUAAGAGUACAUUAAUGAGCUUUGAAUAUGUACUAAUAUACACAUAAAAAAGAUAUAAAUUAUGACAUAUCAUCUACAAAAUGAUUUUAACCUUUUGAAAUUUAUAGACCAUGACCAAAACCACCGGCUCACCUCCAAAAGAAUAACACUAAGUUAGCAUCAUAUAUGGAUUAUAAUAUGUUUGACACGCCACACACAAGAGGGAGUGACUCUUGGAUUUAAGAAAAGCAUCUUAUGUUAUCAUUUUUAAAGUUUAAAAAUAUCUUGAUUAAAAUAUUUAUAAAUUAGCAACGGAAAGUAAAUAUGUGAAAAAUUAAGAGUUAAGGGUAAGAGAAAUGAAAACAAAUAUUUAAACAGGUUCAAUCAAGAAGACUUAUUCAUGUCCAUAAUAUUUGAUCUUAAGAGUAUUCAGUAAUACUUAGAGAGUUUUGAGUAGGUUAAAAUCUUGAACCCACUAAUACAAGAAAAAAUGAAGUUUCAAAUUAACUUUCAACCAAACAAUGAACGAUGGAGUGAAGUGGUUAGUCUUCCUUCCAAAGAACGAACUUGAAGUGAUUAGUCUCAAAGCUAAAUCGUGAUUUUCUAUGGACUUGUCUCGAACCAAUAUGAGUUUUUAAUCUAACUAAAUUGGGGUUUUGACCAGACUGACCAUGAACCAAGAUGAGAUUUUUAAUCAUGCUUAUCUUGAACCCAAGUGAGUUUUUAACCAUGUUUAAAUCAUGAACUGAGUUGAUAUUUUGAAUAUGGUUGAUACCAAGCCAAAGUAAGCUUUUAACGUGGGUUGAGCUUAAAAGCCGAACUGACGACUUAGAAACUAAAUCUCCAAACCAAAGCUUUUAAAGGGUUUAACUUUUAAAGAGUGAUGAAUGAGAUACAAGGAUUACUUUUAUGGAUAUGAAAAUGUGAAAGAAAAUGCCUCUAUUUAUAGGCUAAAGCUUUGAUCAAAAAAGGAAAUAUCCAUGAGCCUAAAUUAAUGAGCCAAUCGAUUGACUUCUUGUCCCAACUAAUUGAGAGGCAAAAAUAAACGAUCAUAAAUGCUUAAAAUGGAAAUAAUAGAUACAUAGUUGUUUCCCUUUAUUAAGACAUUGUAACAAUUGAUAAGAACAUCUCUUGCACUAACCUAAUCGAUUGUGUAUACAUGUCAAUCUAUUGGACAAUUCAAAAACAUAUCCAAAACUAUUCUGANAACGAACUUGAAGUGAUUAGUCUCAAAGCUAAAUCGUGAUUUUCUACGGACUUGUCUCGAACCAAUAUGAGUUUUUAAUCUAACUAAAUUGGGGUUUUGACCAGACUGACCAUGAACCAAGAUGAGAUUUUUAAUCAUGCUUAUCUUGAACCCAAGUGAGUUUUUAACCAUGUUUAAAUCAUGAACUGAGUUGAUAUUUUGAAUAUGGUUGAUACCAAGCCAAAGUAAGCUUUUAACGUGGGUUGAGCUUAAAAGCCGAACUGACGACUUAGAAACUAAAUCUCCAAACCAAAGCUUUUAAAGGGUUUAACUUUUAAAGAGUGAUGAAUGAGAUACAAGGAUUACUUUUAUGGAUAUGAAAAUGUGAAAGAAAAUGCCUCUAUUUAUAGGUUAAAGCUUUGAUCAAAAAAGGAAAUAUCCAUGAGCCUAAAUUAAUGAGCCAAUCGAUUGACUUCUUGUCCCAACUAAUUGAGAGGCAAAAAUAAACGAUCAUAAAUGCUUAAAAUGGAAAUAAUAGAUACAUAGUUGUUUCCCUUUAUUAAGACAUUGUAACAAUUGAUAAGAACAUCUCUUGCACUAACCUAAUCGAUUGUGUAUACAUGUCAAUCUAUUGGACAAUUCAAAAACAUAUCCAAAACUAUUCUGACAUUUCCUUAUUCAACUAGAACGUCUCUAUAAAAAAUUUAGGAAUGUUUUCUUAAGAAAUAGAGGUUUAAAAAAUUAUGUGUGUGUAUGUAUGUGUGUGUGUGUGAGUGUAAUAUGCUCUUAAAUAUAUUUUGAAUGAUGUCAAUACUAGGUAGUUUAGAUCUUUGUGUAUUUGGACCUUACAAUCUUUGUGAAAAUGUGCAUCAUCAUCAUAGAAUAUGUAAGAUUAGAUUACAUAAGUCAUCAUAUGCCAAAAUAUAAGUUUUUCACAAAACAAUCAUGCAUGGGUCGAUAUAACCUCAGUAUGGGUCGAUACAUACUGAGUGGAAUUUCAAAGAAUUUGGAUCUGCCUUGAAUGGGUUGAUAUAAGGGAGAAAUCGGUUGAUAUAUUAUGCUUAAUGGGUUGACUCAUUCUUGCUUGGGUCGACUCAAUCUGAAAGAUGUUUUCAGAAUUUUCCACUGCCUCUAAUGGGUCAAUACAAAGUUGAAAUGGUUCAAUAUAUUAGGCGAAUGGGUCGACUCUCCUGUGUUUGGAGUGGACUCAUUCUGAAACAUUUAUUUCCCAAAUUAGCUACUGCCUCUAACGUAUCGACUCUAUUUGGUAUCGUAUUGACUCACUCAACUUAUGUAUUGACUCAUUCAAGUUUAGAGUCAAUACAUUAUGAACUAUCAAAAACACAUACCUUCACGGUUGGCAAAGAUGUAUAAUCACUAAGGACCACCUGUUGUUAAGUAGUGUGUGGUUUGUUAAUGGCCAAAUUGUGUAAAUAAUCCAUAGUAUUUUGUGGCUCUUUUCACUUAAUCUAAAUGGAAUAUCUUGUUAGAACCUUAGUUUUAAGUGUAAAUAUGUAGGUUUUAACAUUAUCAUGUAAAUAUCUUUUGUUUGAUCAUUUUGAUGCAAAUUUGUAGGCUUCAAAGCCUAUUGGAAGAAUGACAAAUAUAAAGGCACCAAGCAAGACCCAAAGUUUCAACUUUGAAGAUUCCAAGUUUUCCUAAGUGGGCUAAGCGCGGUCCUCACACGCUUAGAGAACGAGGGGCAGGAGGAAAAUGGGAAAUUCGCGCUAGGAGCGCGCUUAGCAUGAAUCAAGGCGGUUUAAGUUAUGUUUUGCUAAGCACUCUUUGAUGCGGCUUAACACAAUUUCACUUUUUGGCCCAUUCUAUAUAUACUUUUGGAUAUAUAUUUUGGAUCAUAUCUCACUCCAACUUUAUUCAAAAGGUACUUUCAGAUAAAAAAUCAUCAAGAACUCAGAAUCAAGAUUUCGAAGCAUCAAUCUUUGAGGUUUUCAACAUUGAUGCUUGCGAAUCUCUUCUUGUUAAUCGUUGAAGAAGCUACCAUGGUUAUGGGUAGAUAAACCUUCUUGUAUCAAAAUUAGAUUUAAUCAAUCUUAACUUGUAUGUAUUCCUUUUGAUCUUUUGUAUGUGAACAACUUGAUAAUCAAUGUAGAUGAUAAUCUUUGCUUUUAUUGAAUAUUUGUGGUUUAAAACAUUGUUGAGAAAGAUAUUUUAAGUCUUGACAUAAGUUAAUCAUCUAUCAAAGAACAAGUCUAGACAUGGAAGUGGAAUUUGAUAUUCACUUUGUAUCGAAUCAUUAAUGUUAUUUGUAUUAUUUAAUAGGUUGAGACAUCGUUGAUUAAAUAAUACGGUAAAACUCGUAAUAUCGUCUUAGAUAUGAGAGGUAUAGUUGACUGAUAUAUGGUUAUGUUAAUUAUAAAAUAAGUUCACAUGUUUGAUUAAUCAAAUACAUACAAAAUAGGUUGAUGAAAUCUAGUCUUGAUAUGUCUUUUAAAAUGUUAAUCUUUCUAAACUUUUAUCAUUGCUACAAACUCUUAUGAAUGUUACUUUCACCAAACCAAAACCAUUCGAAACCCUUGCUUAAGACAUUAUAAACUGUAAAAAAGGCAUUAAUAUAACAUCAAUACAUAUGGAGACAAUAAAAUAAAUACUCACGGAAAAACACUUUUCAACAAAAUGGCGUCGUUGCCGAGGAUUGUUGUUAUGAUAUUGCAAGCAUUGCAAUAGUUUAUCUUGUUUUAUGUUUUUUUAUUGUUAUCUCUUAUCUAAUUUCUUAUCCAUUGUGUUUUUUAAUUUGCUUGGUUAGUGUUUCAGAACUUAGUUUAUGCGAGGAAAUGUAGCCGAAGAUCAACUUCUUUUUUAUCCUGAGAUUGAAAGAACUGCUCGUAGACUUAAUAGCAAAACAAGAAGGAGAAGACAACUAGCUAAUUAAAUGAGAUAACGUGAAGGAAAUUCAGUUGGUACUUCAUCAACAACUCCUAUUUUUAUACAGGUCAUGGCAGAUUCACCUCGUCCUCUAGAACCUCCCAGAGGUCCUUGUAUAAAUAGCCCGGGGAGAAAUGCUCAGUUUGCUAGAAUUGCAAACAAUGGAAGACAUGCAGGUAUGAAGAUUGGGAUACUUCAACUUUUGUAUGCAAACCCCUUCACAUGGCUUGAUCAUGAAGAUCCUUACACCCACCUUACCAAAUUCUAUGAGAUUGCUGGUACAAUUGGAGCCCCAAAAGCGGAAGAAGAGCAAGUGUUCAAGAGACUAUUCCCAUAUUCUUUAAAUGGAAAAGCAAAAGAAUAGUAUCUUGAUCAACCUACUUAAACAAUGACCGAUUGGAAUGUGUUAGAGGAAAUAUUUCUUGAGAGAUUCUUUACACACAAUAGGUUCAUGGAAGCAAAGACUUCAGUUGUGGUUUUCUCACAAGGUGCAAGUGAAUCUCUUAAUGAAGCUUGGGAGCGGUUCAAGUCAAUGUUAAGGAAAUGUCAAGGUCAUGGUUUUGAUGAACUUACUCAAAUUCAUAUCUUUCGCCAUGGACUUAAACCACAACCUAAAACUCUAUUGAAUGUUAUCAUAGGUGGUUCUCUGAUGUCAAAGAGUGCGGAAGAAGUAAUAGCCAUUAUUGAUAGAGUGUCACUCAACGAUCAUCAUGGCCAAUCCGAUCGAGGUACGACAUAAAGGAAACCAGGAAUCAUUGAAUUUGGCACAAAAGAUGUAAUUCUAGCCCCCAAAAAUUGUUAUCUCAACAGGUGGAGUUACUCACACAAUAAAUGUCGAAGCUCCCACAACAAAUCAAAGAGAUGUAAGAGAUUCCUAAAAAGCAUCAACAAGUUGCUUCUUGUGAAUUGUGUAAAGGAGAUCAUCCUACAGGUUAUUGUCCUUUGGUUGGAGAGGAAGUGAAUUAUAUGGGAGAUCCAACUCAAAGUCAACGUUAUCAACCAAGGGAAGCACCUUAUCAAAACACCAAGGUUACCAACAAAGAAAACAUAACCAAGGUUAUCAACAAGGUUAGAGACAAGAGGUCAGACCGUCAAAUCGUCUAAAUCCUUAUCAAAACUACACUCAACCUCCACAAUCUCAAGGUGGAAGUUCAAAGAUAGAAGACACUCUCAUCCAAUUCAUAUAGAUGUCAAUGGCUAACCAAAAGAGUAUCGAUGCAGCCAUUAAAAAUCUUGAGAUUCAAGUUGGUCAAUUGUUUAAGCAAUUAGCCGAUCAACACAAAAGAACUUUUUCUUCCAACACUCAAGACAACCCGAAGGAGCAUUGCACGUAUAUUCUAACUCGUAGUGGUAGAAAAAUUGGAAUGGGAAUUGGUGAUGAAGUGAAUGAAGAGGAAAUUGUAGUAGAAAAGGAGAAGGAAAAAUAUGAGAUUGAAGUAGAAAAAAGUGUUAAGGGAGAAUUAGUUGAAAAAGAGAAAAGUGAGAAAGAAGAAGUAGAAAGGAUAAAUAGAGAUGAAAGGAAGAAAAAGAAUCAAAAGGGUAAGGAGAAGUUUAAUAAUAUUAAAAUUCAAAAUUUUCCAUAUCCUCAUGUUCCUUCCAAAAAGGACAAUGCUAGGCACUAUGCUCGAUUCUUGGAUAUAUUUAGUUAGUUACAGAUUAAUAUUCCAUUUUUCGAGGACCUUGAGCAAAUGCCUGCAUAUGCAAAUUUCAUGAAGGAUGUCCUUACAAAGAAGAGAAGAUAUAUGGAUCAAGAAACAAUCAUUAUUGAUGCUAGUUGUAGCACAAUCAUUUAAAGGAAGAUACCGCGGAAUGAAAGUGAUCUGGGAAGGGUUGCAUUACCGGUCAUAAUAGGAAAUGUUUACAUUGGAAAAGGUUUGAUUGAAUUGGGGUCUAACAUCAACUUGAUUUCGUUAUCCGUUGUGAAAAGGUUAGGAAGCAUUGAGUUAAAAAUAACAAGGAUGAGAUUGUAAUUGGUCAACAAGUCUAUAACUCGUCCUUAUGGAGUAGCGAAACACAUGUUAGUAAUAGUGGAUAAAUUCUUGUUCCCGAUUGACUUUGUUGUUAUUGACAUGGAGAGAGACGAUGAUGCACCAUUGAUUCUUGGUCGACCUUGUAGCGGUAAAUUCAUGACCAUCAAGGGUAAGCUUAACUUCAAUAAAACCAUAGUCGCCACCACACUUUUAUUGUUUCCAAAGGAAAAGGGAAAAGUACGAACAAAACCCAAAGACAAGAAGUUUUCAAGUCAAAACUAAUAAAAUUCCAGAGAUUACACAUAAGGGGGUUGGUUAUACAAAGGGAAGGUGUUAGCAUUUAAAGUGUCAUAGGUACUCCUAGGGAGCCCUUUUUUAUGUGUGUAUGUGUGUUUGGUAUAAAAUAUGUUUGAAAAACAGAGUGUGGGGAUGAGAAAAUAAUUCAUUGAUUAUAUUUUUGUGUUUGACAAGACCUUCAGACUUCUGCCUACGUACCGACAUAAAAAUGAGGGAUCAAAAUCUGGUAGUUCGUGGUAUCAAUUUCAAAAUGAGUGGAUUGAUUUUAAUCAAAAUUUAAUUUAAAGAGGCACAAAGGGACCAAAAGCUUGAAUGAUGUUGUAAGACCCCAAUUUUGACCCUAAGAUCCCUCAUGCAUUUUCAUCAUAAGCAUUGGCAUUGGGAUCAUGCCUUGGCCUCUUCCUUACCCCUCAUUCAUUGGGUUUAUUUUGGGUAGAGAUCACCAAGAACUUUGUGAUUGUAUCAUACUUGUAUUUUAUCAUUUCACUAACCAAAAUAUCAAAAAUAUGUCUUUGCAUUUGCCUAACUCUUUUGCAGGUAGGGCAUGAUCUUAUUGAUUCAUCAAGUUCACAUCUAGGGUUUGAGACCCUCAUAAACAAAUAGCACAACCAAGAAUUGAUUCAAGAAUGGUUAUAAGCAACAUAUAUGAGUCCCAAUGAUUUCUACAUGUUAUAUUGAUCAAUUUUUCUUCAAGAGUUUGAGGGUGAUUUGCCUUGGAAACCCUAGUUUGACUAGGUAUCUUUAGUAACUUCUCCAACAAGCUAUCUCACCAAUUGAUCAAUUUUCUCAAGGGACACUUCAAAUAUAAUUUUCUUAUGCAUAUAUUCUCUACCAUGGGCCAAGAAAGUCAAGAGAAUUGGAAAUUAGCAAGUUGGUUGAUGGUGGUUGGCCAGAUGAAUUCAUCUGAUAAAAACUGGGUCUCCCUAGACCCUAUCUCCUACAAUUUUCACCAUAUGAAAAUGAUUCCAACAUAAAACUUAAUCUAAAUGACAUUCCAAACAACUUUCAUGUUGAGACCUAGAGCUAUUUUUGCUUGUAAAAUCAUUUUCUAUGUUGAAACAUUAUAGGUCAUUUUGUCUAAACCCUUAAUUGAAAGUCAACUUCCCAAGGUCAUAACUUGCUCAAUUUCUAUGAGAUGAAAUAUUUCCAAGUUGCACAAUCAAAUUAAAUGUGUCUAAUUCAACUUUUUUGUUUGGAGUGGGAGCUAAUUCAACUUUUUUUGAGCAUGUGAUAUGAGGCUACAUUAUAGGUCACUUUUGACCUAUACCAUUGAUCAAGUGAUUUUUCCAAACUUCAGAAAUGCAUAACUCUAUCAUUUGAAAUCCAAAUGACAUGAAAUUUGUGACCAUUUUUAAGGUCUUUGAGAGAUACAAAACUUUGAUAAAGACACCUUUCUCAUCGGAAGCUCAUAUAAAAAGUUAAGCAAGGUGGAAUAUUGAGACAUAUGGCUUGACACUUAGAAAAAUUUUGAUAUGUCAAAUUUUUCCAAACUUCCACCUCAAAUUUCUCCAAGUUCCAAGCUCCAAAUGAAAACAUGUUGAACAUCAAAGUUGUUCCUCUUGAUCUCACCUUUCCAAAACGUUCAAAUUCAUUCAUUUUGGAUGAGAAAUGCAUAGGCUGCGCAUGGCUUAAACAGGCUGAUACCAUUUGGCAUGAAUCAAUCUUCAAACACCAAUGUACAUUUGCCUUGCAAUCCAAGCCAACUUCAAACCAUCUGAUAUGCAAUUUUGGACCUCAGGCUAUCAUUUCAUGGACCUAUGUGCGCCCAUGCACCAUUACAUCAUCAUUUGCCAAUUUUGGAAAGUGAAAGUGAGUGUGCAAUUAUCAACCAAUUCAGCUAUAAAUAGAGCUCCAAUUGCGCCAGCUUUGAUCCCCCAUUGAAAACCCUAACUUCUCAAAGGAUAAACCAGAUAAAUUUGUUUGAAUUUCAGCUUGAAUCUCCAUUGUUUUGGAAUUCAAUUCUCCUGGAAUUCAUUGCUUCUAAACCAUUCAAUCCUUCUCCUGCAAGCAAGUUGAGUGAGUCCAAGCACAAGCAAGAUCAAGAUCCAUCGAAUUCAGACCUCCAUUGAAGGUAUUUUUCAUAAAUUUUAAACUCUUCGAUUCUCUUAAAUUCUUGCUCAAUUCCAUUGAUUCUUUGGUUGUCUGAAGUCCUACCAAUAUAGGCAAGAAGAUUGAGUUGCUUUGAGGUCAAAUCGAAGCAACUCAGUUCAUGUACCUCAAAUUUCAAUUCCACAUAUCUCUCAAUAUAUUGGAAUUGGAAAUGAAUGAAUGGCCUCGAAGUGACUUUGCAACCCUCUGAACCAAUGAUCCUCCCUCUCACGUUUUAAUCCCUGAGCGUUGGUUGUUGACUACACAUUUGCCACGCAGUGUGACAUCACGUCUAUGUGGAAUGCACGCUUGGAUCAUUCAGAUCUACAACCUCAUUAAUGAGGAGCAUCUGAGGUCCACGUAAUUUAGAAAUUUUCUGAAUGUUCAACUUUCAUUGCAUUUUCUUUCAAUACUUCAUUAUUAAAUUCAAUAUUGAUCAAAAAAUAUGGGACUUUCACCGAAAAAAAUUCAAACCAAAAUUUCUCUUUUUUCAUAUUCUGAAUUAAAAUAUUUUUUUUGAAAAUUUCAAAAAUUAUUAAUAUUUUUCAUAAAUUAUUGAUUUUGCAUUGUUUUUUAAAUGUUUAAAAUAUUUUUAAAUGUCCAAAAAUUAUGAAAAUUUUUUCUCCAUGGUCCUUUGAACCUUGUUUGACCUAUGAUAAAUCUCAUGUCCAUUUAAUUUGGUGUUUUGAUGAGAUUUUAGGAAUUGGACAACAUAUUUUGAAUAAAAUGCACAUUUUAUUAUUUUUAAUUGAAUAAAUGUCAUUUAAAUUGUUUUGACCAUUUGUAUUGAUCUUAAUUAUGUUUGAAUUUGUUUGUUGUUGGCCUUGGUCAAGUUAAUAUCAUUGGAUUUAGGGAUUGAAUGGAAUGUACAUUCCGUCUCCCCAAAAUGAAAUGAAUAUAUUAAUUUGGGUAAAAGUCCUCCUUUGACCAAUUUGUGAUCUCAUUCAUCCCCUUCUCAUUUCAUCUCAUUCCUCUUCUUAAUUCAUUCAUUUCAUUUGGCCUAUGACAUCUCAAAGUCCUAAUGCUAGUUGAUUAAAAAAUUGACAUGAGUAUGGAUGAGAUUAGGCCACACCUUUUGCAUAUUUUGUGUGUGUGGUAUGUUUCAUGAGUAUAGUCCAUUUUACUAUGUCUCUAACAUGCAUUAACACCAAAAUUCUAUUGCCCGACCUCAAAUAGUUGUGACUUCUACAUAAGUUCAAUUACGAUUGCUUAACAUAGCGCUAAAUUUGUGACAUAAAAGGCAUAAGCAUUCUAGUUAGUGAGAUUGUAAGUUUCCCCUCUUUCAUGGUAUUGUGUGGAAACUUGGCCUUCUUUCCUUCCUUUUGAAGAUCUUUUGGUUCAAGGAUCCAUGCUUGUGAUAAGUGGGUUGAGUGUUCUCCAAAGAAUGUCUUGAAAAAAGCAAAAAAAAAAAGCAAAACAUAACUAAAUUCUAACCUACUAACUACUAACUUUUAAUUUCAAGCUUUUACUUUAAUGCAAUUUACUUUUAGCACUUUAUAUCAUUUGCCAUUAUACACAUCAUUCUAAUUAUUUAUGUUAAUGUAAUUUUCACUUUGUCCAUUUGGACCAUAUUGUGUGAUAUAUUUUGUUGGUGUUAUUUUUUUUGUUUGUGUGGUCUUUAACCAUUAAUGUACAUAAUAAAAAACAAAAACCCUAAAAAACUUUUGAGUGGACUGUUGGUUUGAUCUUGAGCAAAUGGACUUAGAAUCUAGGCAACUUCCCUAAGCUAAAGGACUUGGCCAAUGCCAACUUAUUGAAGAACCAAAUGCUUGCAAUUUGAACCUCAUCUGAUACAUCUUUGAAGACCUCUCUAGAUUCAUCUACAAUAUGAUCAUUGUGAAGCUGUUAUUUUGAACCUGUGACUUGUGGAAUUCAUCUGUUGCAAGGGAUCUUCACAUUAGGAACCAGGUAGAGUUCGGUAGCAGACUUGCCAAAAAGAUCCUUUCCUCUGAGAGUUUUCAAUUCCUUGCGAAGCUCAAGAAAUUGAUCAUUCAUAGCAUCCAUCUUUUCAUAGACAUCUGGGCCCUCAGACGGCUCAGAAUGAUAGAUGAUGUCGUCUACUCUAGGCGUAAUAUGCACGACAGGAGGAGGAACAGCAAGGACCGGGCUAGAUGUCGGCAGAGAAGCAAAGGUGGGUGCAGGACCCUUAGGCAUGAAAUUAGGAGGCAUCCCCCACGGAAACCCAGUUGGCAUGGCCGUCGGAGCAAAGUGUGCGCUGGCCGCACGCACAGUUGAAGAGACAAUCUCAGAGAUGACUGUCCUCUGGGGAGGAGUUGAAGGUGUCGGAGAAGACUGGCUCUAGGGCAGCCAUGAAUGACUCCAUCAGGGCAGUCAAUCUGGCUACUUCUUCCUUCAGCUCGCGGUUCUCUUGUUCCAGAUGAUCCGUCAGUCUUGAAAUGUUGGCUCUGGUGUAGUACCGGUGAGUCAGCUUGUCUUCAAAAUAAAUGAAGAACACAGAGUUAGACCAUAGAACAAGAAGCCUGGAGCAAAACCUGCUGAUGCACAUGAUGCAAGUACCGGUGAGUCAGCUUGUCUUCAAAAUAAAUGAAGAACACAGAGUUAGACCAUAGAACAAGAAGCCUGGAGCAAAACCUGCUGAUGCACAUGAUGCAUGCAAUGCUUGUGCAUAUGAUUUGUUUUCUAUUUAUCAUAGGAACUUUUAGAGUUCUAUUUGCAAAUAUUGGAAAUAUUAAACAUUUAUCACAUAUGGAAAUAUCACAUCAAUAAUAUCUGGAAAAUAUUUUUACACCAAAAAAGUACAGUCUUGGUAACCAAAUACAAGAGGGAAGGAAAAUGAACAUCCUAUGGAACCCUAGAAGCAAUCAUCUAAAGCUCUGGAUACAGGAAGAUAAGAUGUACGAAGCCUCUUCACCUCCCUCUCAUAGGCUGCCUCCAUAUCUGCCUUCUUUUUGGCGAGUCGAUCAUACUUCCUCUUCCAAAACUUGGAAGACUGAGGAAGUAGAGAAGUCCAUGCAUCAUCAGGAUCAUCUAUAACUUGAUGCUCGAGGAACUCUAUCAAAGCAUCCUUCUCCUUGAUUUGCUGAAGCAACUCCUCUCGUUCACAGAUCCAAGCACGUGAACGAUCUUCGUCUCUCAACUCCUAUACUCCUUGGUCUGGGAGGGUUGAAGGCCCAGCCGCAACCAAAGGUGUAGGUCUUGGAUAUUCGUAAGGCAUGAGGUACUCGGAAGCUCUCCUCCUCACCCAAGAAGUAUAAGGCUCCAAAGCGAUACAAUUCUUUGGACCUAGCUCCUUCCUUCCUUUCCUAUGGAUCUUGCGCCAAGUGUGGACCAUCCUGCCCUUCAAGCCUUGGGGAUCUUUACCCUCUUGAAAGAACACACCUUCUAACAGAAUGUUAUUGGGUUUAUCCUUUUGGGGGAACCCAUGCUGACGAUGUGCCAAAAUAGGGUUGUAGUUAAUCCCACCACAUGUACCAGGAAGAGGCACAUUGGAGAAUUCUCCAUAAGAAUCAAUAAUCUGCACAUCAUCAUACACACGGUUGUACCAAGAGAUAUCAUCAUUAGUGAGAGACAUAAGUCCCGUGGACCACCGUAGACAUCCUUUGUUCUCCUUGAAGGCGACCGUCUACGACAAGUGCGAAAUAAACCACUUGUACAACAGAGGCAAAUAGCACACAAUGGUACCACCACCCUUUGCAUUCCUCAUAUGCAAAGAAAAGUAAGUGUCACUCAACAGAGUCGGAACGGGAUUAAGAGUAGAGAAAAUCCUAAUAGCGUUCACAUCCACAAACUUGUCGAUGUUGGGGAAUAACACUAGCCCAUAGAUGAGAAGUACAAAUAUGGCCUCAAAGGCGUCCUCACUCAUGGCCUUCCCAUACAUAGUAGCUUGAGCAAUGAGGAACUCAGAAGGGAGACCUUGAAUUCCACCUUUGGUAGUCAUAUGAGCACCAACCAGAGAUUCAUCUAUAUGCAACAUGUCAGCUAUCUCUUGAGAAGUAGGAAUACUCUCCAAGCCACUGAACGGCAACUGGUCUAGAAUAGGUAUACCCACAAGGUAGGCAUACUCCUCAAGCGUGGGCAAAAGCUGAAAAUCCGGAAAUGUGAAGCAACGGUACAAGGGAUCAUAAAACUGCACCAAUACACUCAUCAAUCCUUCAUCCACCUGAGUAGUCAGAAGAGGAAGAAGCUUCCCAAAACGAGCCUUGAAACCCAAGGGAUCUAAUACAUAGGAUGUCAAAUUCCUUAGCUCUUUCAAGUCGGGUUGUCUGAAACUGUACUUCUUCGUAUUCCUUCUUUGUCUUUCCAUGUCUGAAAAUUUGCAAAUAGACCUCUUAAGUUCCUUGAAAAUUUUCUCAUUAUUGAUGAUAUGGAUGCAAAUGGGUGCAUGAAUGCAUGAAUGCAACAAUCACACUCAAGGAUCAAGCAAAGCACACCAAACAAAGGUCAUGGGAUGGAUCAUGUUAUCCUUAAUAUCAAUCAUCCAUUUUGGUGGAUUAUGGUUUACACCUUAUCAACACCCAAGUUCCAUUGAUAUUAAGGAUACAUGAACGGAUCAACCAUGAAUCAAGGGUUUGUUGCAAGUCACGAGCAUGGAGUCUCGGUUAAGAACCACCCAAAGGGAGUGUACUAUGGUUUAAACCUGCCAAACAUGUUCUACAAGAGGUUCCCAUAGUCAUUAUCCCAUCUUUCGAAUAUUAUCGGAGAAACAACUACUCGUAUUCCAAAAAUAUUCUCAAGAGAGACUCUUAUGAGUGUAGCAUCGUGUAACAAUCGUAUCAAAUCUUACACUUGAACGACUUUCGCACUACGUCCUAAGAAUAGGCCAAGAAGGGCUUGGUAAACUAAGGUCCUUGGCUUCUAAGGUCUAUAUUGGAAAAAGUAAUGUCUAACCACAACUACUUGUGUGACAUUAUUGAUCCCAACAUGACCUCCACCAAAUGAAUGGGCUUGCAAGUCAACUUGCUAAGGAAUAACUCCACACAAGUCAACAAGACUAUGCCAUUCUCCUAUCCUAAAUGCACUCGAGUUCGGGUAUAGAACUCAUCUCACAAAGAUCACCAAGCAUACAAGGAAAUUAAUAUUGAAGCAAGGUUCAAUCAUUAAUAUAAUACCGUCAAUCCCAAAUUGCACAAAAAUAUGCUCAUUAAAACAAUAUAAAUAUAAUGACAAAAAACAAAAAAAAAAUAUGAAAAGUAGGAGGCAAACCCACAUAGGCGCAAAUGAUCCCCAGCAGAGUCGCCACUUUUUUGUAGCGGGGUAUUCGUUACCAUUAGAGAUAUUGACUAAAUCUAAGGUAAACCAUACAAGUCGAGUCGCCACCGCACUUCUAUUUAUCCAAAGGAAUGGUUAGAAUGCGAACAAAAACCUAAAAGUUUUAUCGAAUAUAAAACUAGUAAAAAUGUCAGAGAUCUGGGUAAGGGGGUUGGUUAUGCAAUGGGAAGGUUUUAAGCACCCAAAACAUCCUAGGUACUCCUAGGGAGCCCUUUUCAUACUUGUUGUAAGGUUUGUAUUUUGUGAAAAUUUAUUUGUGCAAACAUGAUUGAAGAGAUGAGAAGAGAAUAUACAAGUUAUUCACAUUUUAUGUUUGGAUGGAUAAACCCAUUGCCUACGUACCAUCUUAAAAAAAGAUUAGGAUCAAAACCUCGUACUUCGGGGUAAAAAUCUCAAAAUGAGUUGGUGAGUUGAUUGGUCCAAAAGCCUUAAGGUCUUUUGUUAUCCAAGGGAGAAAACUCAACCCAAAACCACAAAUCCACCAUGUGAGGAUAGCUUCAACAUGCUAGUGAGGGGUUAACCCUAUAAUAAGUAUGGAAGACUCAUUGUGCAUCACUAAGGAUAUAGGCGAGUAUUAUAUCUACCUCAAGGAUAACUCAAACCUAAUAGCUACAGGUUAUGAAAAGUUUUGAUUAAGAAAGUGGCCAUUGAAACCACAAAAAGAGUAUUUGAAUUGGUUAUACUUACCAAUGAAAAGUAUGUACAAAAUAUGGUCAAAGAUGACUUAGAAGUUCAAUUCAAAAUAAGUGUUAUGAAAAUAAAAUUUGAAAAUCAAAAGCAUAAGGCUUAGGUUUCUAAUGUUUGAAAAGAAGUGUUAAAUGUUUGCACAAAAGUUUUGGCUUGGGUUAGAGUGGAGGGAAGAAGAAGAAUGGCUAAAGUCCUAAUCACAUAAGGCUUAGGUUUCUAAUGUUUGAAAAGAAGUGUUAAAUGUUUGCACAAAAGUUUUGGCUUGGGUUAGAGUGGAGGGAAGAAGAAGAAUGGCUAAAGUCCUAAUCAUACAAGAGAUAAGGGAUACGAAACAAGACCACAAAUGGAGUUCCUCUCUUGAGAUCAUAUUGAUGAUCCAAGUAGUAGCUCCCAUCCUUUGGAAUAUGCAAGCAAAAUAAUAGUAAGCUCAAGAAAUCAACACAAUCAAACAAGCUUCUUAGAAGAUCCCCAAUGUAACUUGUAUCUUUCACUUUGGAUGAACGUGGCAAUGGUUCUUCAAUUUGAGCUCUCAUAGGAUUCCCUAGCACAAGAGCACACACAUCAAAGAGUUUUAUGAAGCAAAUCAAGAAUGGACAAGAGUGAGUUUAGAGGUUUGGUCCUUCUAGUCCAUCUUCAACAUUAAGGUCUUUUUCUCCAAUUUGCAUAGGGAAAGUCCUAGAAACUAAGUCCAUUUGUCCAUUUCUUUGCAUUUGGUCCACAACAAUCAAAACAAAACACAAGCACAAUGAUAUAUACACAAUUAUAUGCUCAAGUGAGCAAAAGGCAAAUUGCAUUAACAUAAACAGUGCUCUAGUGAGCAAGGGGGAAGAGCAAAUUGAAUAAAUAGUAAAGAAUAGUAAAUUGCAUAAAGUAAAGAGGCAAGAAGUAAAUUUAUGGUAAUAGUUAGUGUUAGUGGUUAGUGUACCAUAAAGGAAUUUAGUGCUAUGUUAAGCAAUCGUAAUUGGACUUAUGUAGAAGUCACAACUAUCUGAGGCCGGACAAUAAUAAUGUAGGCAACAACACAAGUUAGAGGUCUUGAUUAGUGAAUCAAACUCCAACAACUUGCCAUGCCAAAAAGAAGACGAGAAAUGAUCUUGUAUUGAUUUAGGUCCUUUGCAUAAUUUAGAAAUCAAUCUAUCCUUAAUGCAAAGCCAUUCACUUGAUCCAUGAUCAAGAUGAAUUAGAUUUGAAUCAAGGAAGAUUAAACCUCCCUAAUCAAUGCUAACCAUCAACCUUUAACUCAUUCAUCAAAAAGAAAAGAAGAAGAAGAAGAAGAUGAAGAAUAGAAAUGAAGAAUUAAAGUGCAUUAAAUGAAAUGGAAUGAGAUAAUCAACAAGCUAUGACCAAAGGUAGAGAAGAUCAAGGUCAAACAAUAGAAAACAAAAGCAGAAUGAAGAUUAGAAGUCAAGAAGUAAACAAAAUAUUUUUGGCAUUUUUAAUAUUUAAAAUAAAACAUGAAUUAAAAUAUUAAAGAAAGUUCAAACUUCAAAAUCACUUCAAAUAAACUUUGACAAGUCCAAGUGAAUUAUCCCAAGUUCAACAAGGUCAAACAAAGUUUGACAAAAAAUUUCAGCAUUUUUAAAAGUGAUAAACUAAUUUUAAUCAAUUAAAAAUGCAUAAAAAUGACCUAAUUGAACAAAAAUCUCAAAUAAAUCUCAAAUCAAUUAAUAAAUUGAUGAGAAUAUUUUUCAUAGAUUUAUCAUAAUUCAAAGAGGUUGAGAAAAUAUUUUGGUAUUUUUUGAAUAUCAAAAAAUAUUUAAAAUGAAUUAAAAAUAACCAGAAAAGAGAAAAUUGCUAAAAAAAUAGCAAAUGAUAAAAUAAAAAAUAUUAAAAAUCAUUUUUAGAAACUAGAAAUUAAAAGAGAAAUAAUGCAAUUGGUCCCAAAUUUUUUGGACCAAUAAUGAAAGAGAUAUGGAUUUUAGAAAAUGAAAUGGAAUUAAAAAAUAAAAUGGAAAUAAAACUUAGAAUUAAAAAAGAUGGAAAAGCGUGAGCCAUUGGAUCUGAGCUCAUUAAUUGAGCUGGCAGAUCCAAGCAUCCACAAGCGCGCGCCCAACGUGUUCCUCAGUCAACUGAAUCACAUGGCGUAUUAAAAUAAGUCAUAAGUUUGGACAGCCAGGAUUAGAUCUGGGAAUGGCAAUGGAUGGCCACGAUUGGAUCUGGAGACCAGACGGUGGCCAGCGCCACCGUCUUCUCCGGCUAGCUCCGGUGAGGGCUCAAAAUUGCAGAAGAGCAAAUGUGACCAAAACGCACGAUCCAGGUACCAAAUGAAAGAUGGAGUGAUGUACAUAACUUUUAUGCCACUCAAUUCCAUUCUAGAUCCCUAUUGAUAGAGAAAUCAGAGGUGGAAUUUUGGUGGUGUUCAACUGAACUUGCUUGAUUUCAAAAAUCAAGAACACAAUAAUGAUGCCUUUAUGCAAAGGACUUCAGAUCACACAAAAUCAAGGCAAAUGGAGCAAUAUAUAUGUUGUUUCGAAGCAAAAUGCAGUUGAGCAAAACCUUUGAAUUGUGAAGAAAUGAGUCACAAUCUUUGAUUCCUUUUGCAAACAGAAGCUUCUAUGGAUCAAAGAAAGAAGGUUUAGGAACUAUGGAUCUUAAAAAUCAAUCGAUGCAAUUGAAUUUCAGAUCUGAAACUUUUGAAAGGAAGAGAAAAGUUCCUUUGGCGAGGGUUGGGUUUUGAGUUUAGUAGAGGUUUAGGCGCCUUUAAGUUGAAGAAUUGUGAAGCUAUGGCAUGGUAUUUAUAGAUGGAGAUGGCUAAAUGCAUGAGCUAACUCGUGUGCAUAGGAGAAGAGGGCCUCCAUGCAUGGGCCUGUACAGGCGCAUGGAGGGCCCAAUUCUGAAUGGAAUUGAAUGCUAUACAUUACCAAAUAUGAAUUGGAAGUGCAGAUUGGAUGUUAAUGGGUCAUGCAUGGCAAUUGGAAUGAUUUUCAUAAAAUGCACUGUUUCAUUGAAGCUUUCGAAAAGGCCAUGUCCAAAAUCCAAAUGCAACCUUAUGAGUAAUGGUUGGAAAGCUUAUUGCAUAAGGAACAAAUGUCAUGUUGAUCAAAACUUCAUUUGGGCCUUGGAAAUUAAUGAAAUUUGAGCUUGAAGUACCAAAAUCCAAAUGCAACCUUAUGAGUAAUGGUUGGAAAGCUUAUUGCAUAAGGAACAAAUGUCAUGUUGAUCAAAACUUCAUUUGGGCCUUGGAAAUUAAUGAAAUUUGAGCUUGAAGUGUAGGGUACAAAACAUGCCUAUGUGAAGUUUCCAAAUUUGGCCAAUGUUCAAGCCCCUCUGUCUCAAUGAUGCAAGCUCCAAAUGAUAAAAGAUUAAACAUGAAAGUUGUAGAUAUUUUCAAGACAAUCAAUUUUGACUUAAAGUUUGCAUCAUUUGGAUUUUUAAUGAAGACGUUAUGGGCAUUUGAAGUUGGACUUUUUCACAUUUCAAUGCAUUUGGUCCAAAGUGACCUAUAAUGUUUUGCAUUAUCACAAAUGAGUUCAAAUAUGCACGAAAUGAUGAAUUAAAGAACUUACCUUGAUUGUAUUUUACCAUGGGCUGAGGUUGCUUCAUGAGCAAGGCACAGUUGAUGAACAAAUGAACUAGGGUUUCCUUGGGAAACAAGCCUGAAACCCCUUGACUUGAUUUGAUCAAAAUGAAUAAUUGAGAUACUUGGGAGGCAUAUUUGAUGGAUUAGAGCUUUGGGAUCCAUUUCCAUGUUUUCUUUCAUCUCCUCUUGACCACAUCAUUGCACAUAGGAUCUCCUAGAAGCUUUGGAUCUUGUGACUGCUCAAGCUACAAACAAGAGAUGUUAGUGACAUAUUUUUGUGCUUUUGGUUAGUAAAUAAAAUGAGAAAAGAAAUAAUAUACAAUUCAAGCAUGCUUGGUGAUCACUUUGGAUCUUGUGACUGCUCAAGCUACAAACAAGAGAUGUUAGUGACAUAUUUUUGUGCUUUUGGUUAGUAAAUAAAAUGAGAAAAGAAAUAAUAUACAAUUCAAGCAUGCUUGGUGAUCUCAAACUACUCACAAAAGAUCCCACCCAAAGGCAAAGGGAACCAAGAUGCUUAUGAUCCUUGAGGCUAUGCAAAUGAAAUGUUAUGAUGCCAUGAGGGAUCUUAGGGUCAAAAUUAGGGUCUUACAACAUCUUGAUUUUUUGUUGGAAAUCACUUGAACCUUCUACCAUAAAUUAUGGUUGCGUUUUUCCUUGCCUUAAAAAGUAGGGGAGCAUUCUUGGGUUGCGUUCAAAGUUGGGGAGAAAGAGGUUAGUUGAUAAGAUUGAAAAAGAAGUGGUUGAAAAAAAAAAGAAAAAAAAUUAUGAAUAGAAAAGAAGCAAUGCAAAGAAGAGCUUUGUAAAAGAAAGAAAAAUGGUAAGAAUUUUAUGCGAACAAGUGAGCUCAUGGUUGUAACAAUGAAUCAAAGAAAAAAGGGUAAGGAGAAUGUGAUUGUUUAAGAAUGUGGGGUGUGAAUGCUCUCAUAAGAUUAUGCAAUUUUGUUUCAAUAACUUGAGAAAUGACCCUUCCUUCUUAACCAAUCCAAAUUAAAACCCUUGAAAGUCCUUAGUGAUUCAUACUUUUGUGCUUUCAAUAUAAUUUGUUGAUGAAUGCAUAAUUUGGUCAAGAUGUUAGCAGGAUUCUUGUAUGGGAGUAAAAGUCCCUCAUGUUGUUUCUCAUCGAUUAAUGAAUGUGUUUUUAUGUGUGAUUCAUGUUUGAAUUUGCAUUAUUUUAAGAAAUUUUAGUAUGAAGUGUGCAUUUAGCAUUUGUUUCAAGGUCAUGGUUUGUUUUUGAGUAUUGGUAAGCUUUACUUUGGUUGUGCUAUUGAUUUUGAACCAUGAAAUUGUUUUUUAUUCUUAAGAACUUGUUGUGUCCCAUUUUCUUGAAGGUUGUUUUUUGUUGUUUUGGGUUUGAAAGACUUUUGUUUGGGGGCAAACAAAGUUAUAAGUUGGGGAGAGUUGUUAAUGGCCAAUUUGUGUAAAUAAUCCAGAGUAUUCUGUGGCCCUUUUCAUUUGAUAUCAAUAGAAUUUCUUGCUAGCACCUUAGUUUUAAGUGUAAAUAUGUAGAUUUUAAGAUUAUCAUGUAAAUAGAUUUUGUUUGAUCAUUUUGGUGCAAAUUUGUAGGUUUCCAAGCCUAUUGGAAGUAUGAGAAACACAAAGGCACCAAGCAAGAUCCAAAGUUUCAAUUUUGAAGAUUCCAAGUUUUCCAAAGCAGGCUAAGCGCGACCCUAGCGCACUUAGAGAACGAGGGGAAGGAGGAAAAUGGGAAAUUCACGUUAGGAGUGCGUUUAGCGCGAAUCAAGGCGGUUUAAGUUAUUUUUCUUUUAUCGUGCUAAGCGCACUCUGAUGGGGCUUAGCGUGAUUUCACUUUUAUGGCCCAUGCUAUAUAUACUUUUUUCUAGAUAUUUUGGAUCUUAUUUCACUCCAACUUUAUUCCAAAGGUUUUUCAGAUAAAAAAUCAUCAAGAACUCAUAAUCAAGAUUUCAAAGCAUCAAUCUUCGAGUUUUUCGAUGUUGAUGCUUGUGAAUCUCUUCUUGUUACUUAUUGGAAAGCUAUCAUGGUUAUGGGUAGCUAAACCCUCUUGUAUCAAGAUUAGAUGUAAUCAAUCUUAACAUGUAUGUAUUUCUUUUGAUCUUUUAUAUGUGAACAACUUGAUAAUCAAUGUAGAUGAUAAUCUUUGCUUUUAUUGAAUAUUUAUGGUUUAAAACAUUAUUGAGAAAGAUCUUUUAAGUCUUGGCCUCAGUUUAUCAUCUAUCAAAGAACAAGUAUAGAAAUGGAAGUGAAAUUAGAUAUUGAAUUUGUAUCAGAUCACUAAUGUUAUUUGUAUUGUUUAAUAGGUUGAGACAUCGUCGAUUAAACAAUACGGUAAAACUCACAAUACAUUCCUCGACAUGAGCGGUAUGGUUGCGCGAUAUGUGGUUAUGAUGAUUAUAAAUGAAGUUCACAUGCUUAAUUAAUCGAAUACAUACAAAAUAUUGAUGAAAUCUAGUCUUGAUAUGUCUUUUAACAUAUUAAUCUUUCUAAACUUUUAUCAUUGCUACAAACUCUUAUGAAUGUCACUUUCACCAAACCAAAACCAUUUGAAACCUUUGCUUAAGACAUUGUAAACUUUAGAAUGGUGGUAAUAUCACAUCAAUCCCUGUGGAGAGGAUAAAACAAAUACUCACCGAAAACUACUUUUUGACAUGGUUGUAUAUGCGUCACUUACAAUCACGGUCUAGUGCCUGUUGUAGAAAACUAGGAUAUGUGCUACCUAUCAUCAUGGUUGUAUUACAUAACCUUUGUGAAAUGUUUAAAAGUCCCUGGUUCGAUUCCCAUCGACACCAUUUUUGGGAUUUGAAUUAUUCUGGAUAGCUUUCAACAUAUAAACACAGUUGAAUUUAGCAACCGUUGUGAAAUCACUUGCUCUCUCUCUCUCUCUCUCUCUCUCUCUCUCUCUCUAUCUAUCCAUCUAUCUAUCUUUAUCUCUCUCUCUCUCUCUCUAUAUAUAUAUAUAUGUGUGUGUGUGUGUGUGUAUAUAUANNNNNNNNNNNNNNNNNNNNNNNNNNNNNNNNNNNNNNNNNNNNNNNNNNNNNNNNNNNNNNNNNNNNNNNNNNNNNNNNNNNNNNNNNNNNNNNNNNNNNNNNNNNNNNNNNNNNNNNNNNNNNNNNNNNNNNNNNNNNNNNNNNNNNNNNNNNNNNNNNNNNNNNNNNNNNNNNNNNNNNNNNNNNNNNNNNNNNNNNNNNNNNNNNNNNNNNNNNNNNNNNNNNNNNNNNNNNNNNNNNNNNNNNNNNNNNNNNNNNNNNNNNNNNNNNNNNNNNNNNNNNNNNNNNNNNNNNNNNNNNNNNNNNNNNNNNNNNNNNNNNNNNNNNNNNNNNNNNNNNNNNNNNNNNNNNNNNNNNNNNNNNNNNNNNNNNNNNNNNNNNNNNNNNNNNNNNNNNNNNNNNNNNNNNNNNNNNNNNNNNNNNNNNNNNNNNNNNNNNNNNNNNNNNNNNNNNNNNNNNNNNNNNNNNNNNNNNNNNNNNNNNNNNNNNNNNNNNNNNNNNNNNNNNNNNNNNNNNNNNNNNNNNNNNNNNNNNNNNNNNNNNNNNNNNNNNNNNNNNNNNNNNNNNNNNNNNNNNNNNNNNNNNNNNNNNNNNNNNNNNNNNNNNNNNNNNNNNNNNNNNNNNNNNNNNNNNNNNNNNNNNNNNNNNNNNNNNNNNNNNNNNNNNNNNNNNNNNNNNNNNNNNNNNNNNNNNNNNNNNNNNNNNNNNNNNNNNNNNNNNNNNNNNNNNNNNNNNNNNNNNNNNNNNNNNNNNNNNNNNNNNNNNNNNNNNNNNNNNNNNNNNNNNNNNNNNNNNNNNNNNNNNNNNNNNNNNNNNNNNNNNNNNNNNNNNNNNNNNNNNNNNNNNNNNNNNNNNNNNNNNNNNNNNNNNNNNNNNNNNNNNNNNNNNNNNNNNNNNNNNNNNNNNNNNNNNNNNNNNNNNNNNNNNNNNNNNNNNNNNNNNNNNNNNNNNNNNNNNNNNNNNNNNNNNNNNNNNNNNNNNNNNNNNNNNNNNNNNNNNNNNNNNNNNNNNNNNNNNNNNNNNNNNNNNNNNNNNNNNNNNNNNNNNNNNNNNNNNNNNNNNNNNNNNNNNNNNNNNNNNNNNNNNNNNNNNNNNNNNNNNNNNNNNNNNNNNNNNNNNNNNNNNNNNNNNNNNNNNNNNNNNNNNNNNNNNNNNNNNNNNNNNNNNNNNNNNNNNNNNNNNNNNNNNNNNNNNNNNNNNNNNNNNNNNNNNNNNNNNNNNNNNNNNNNNNNNNNNNNNNNNNNNNNNNNNNNNNNNNNNNNNNNNNNNNNNNNNNNNNNNNNNNNNNNNNNNNNNNNNNNNNNNNNNNNNNNNNNNNNNNNNNNNNNNNNNNNNNNNNNNNNNNNNNNNNNNNNNNNNNNNNNNNNNNNNNNNNNNNNNNNNNNNNNNNNNNNNNNNNNNNNNNNNNNNNNNNNNNNNNNNNNNNNNNNNNNNNNNNNNNNNNNNNNNNNNNNNNNNNNNNNNNNNNNNNNNNNNNNNNNNNNNNNNNNNNNNNNNNNNNNNNNNNNNNNNNNNNNNNNNNNNNNNNNNNNNNNNNNNNNNNNNNNNNNNNNNNNNNNNNNNNNNNNNNNNNNNNNNNNNNNNNNNNNNNNNNNNNNNNNNNNNNNNNNNNNNNNNNNNNNNNNNUUUUUUGCUAUCAGAGAUAGGCAUACUGUCAAGAAGCAGAUAGCUACAUUUUGCUUAUAUAUGGAUAAACAAACUUCACCACAAUCAUAUUCAAAAACUGUAUGGAAAUAUAAACGGCCUUUCGCCAUGAGUGGUUGACACUACCAACCGUGGUUGUGCUGUGAUUGUAUAUUACUAAUUAUAUAACUAUAUUAUAUAUAUAUAUAUAUAUAUAUAUACAACACUCAUUGUAACGAAAAAAUAGAAAAUUGUUGGAGUUGUAAUUCGAAUUCUGUCACUCCAUGAAUGUAUGAUCACGGUUGAUUGUUUUGACCGUAAUGCAAUAUUUUUUCGUAAAUAUAAAUAUAAAAAAACGCGUUAAAAAAUGAGGUAUUACCACGACUAUUUUGUCACUCCAUGAAUGUAUAAAUAUUUUUAUUGCCUGGCCUCAGAUAGUUAUGACUUCUACAUAAGUUCAAUUACAAUUGCUUAACAUAGAGGUAAAUUUGACCCUAAAGGCACAACAUUCUAGUAAGUGAAAUUGUAAGUCUCCCAUCCUUCAUGGUAUUGUGUGGAAACUUGACCUUUUUUCCUUCCUAUGGAAGAUGUCUUAGUUUAAGGAUUCAUGUUGUGAAUGGAUGGUUGACUAUUCUCCAAAGAAUGACUUAAUCAAUUAAAAAGCAAAACACCACUAAUACCACUAACACUUGACUAACAUUUGACUAACUCUAACUAAUAUUGUUUUAUUUAAAAGUUAUUUACUUUAUGCAAUUUAAUUUUCAGUCAUUUAUCAUUCAUUUCCAUUUAUAUUUCAUUUGACUUGUUUAUGUUUAUGUCAUUUUCACUUUGCUCAUUUGAGUCAUAUCUUAUGAUUGUAUAUAUUUGUUUGUGCAUUUUGAUUCUGUUUGUGGUCUUAGGACCUUAAAAUACUUAAUAAACAACAAAAACCCUGAAAAAUAUUUGGUGGACUGUUGAUCUUGAUCUGAACUUUUGGACUUAGGAUUAGGCAAUAUUCCUUGUGCAAAAAAGACUUGGUCAAUGCCAACAUUUUGAGACCAGGUUAUUGUGAACUGAGCCUUCGUCUGAUGCAAGCCUUGGACUCUGUUUGAAUUCAUCUGCUACCUUGUCUUGUUGCUAAUUGUUAUUUAGAUUUUGUGUCUGAUGGUUUCUUCUGAGUUGGGCAAAGAAUAUUUCAUCUGGAGCAUGAGAAGACAAAUAAGACUAUUAGCUAUGGGAUGUGUUUGCUUGGAUGUGGUUAUCUUUAUUUGAUGUCUUGAUCUUCAUGAUGCCUGAUAUUGCUAUUUUCUUGUUGAUUAUUGCUUGAUUCAAAGUCCAAGGGAAAUUGGUUUCUAUAUGACACUCUUGUCUGUUGGAUUGCAUCCCAUUGUUCAGAUCUUUUCAACUCUUAAUUUUUAACUGUAUGCUUAAGAUAACCUCUUCAUCUCCUCCUAAUUCUUAAAUUUCAGAAUAUCUCCCUCCUUUCAAAAUCUUUCUUUUCUUAUGAUUUCAAACUUGGACCUUAUUUCAAGUAGAAACUUUGGCCUUAUGCCAUUGAAUUUUUGAACUUCUUUUUCUUAAAUCAAACUUGUAAAAAAUUAUAAUCAUAAUGACUUAAAAUUUCAAAAUACAAAAAGAACUAAUAACUCCAUUAAAACCUUUGGCCCCUUCGUGCCCUCCUCAAUUAAAUUUUUUUUAAAAGCAAUUCACCUAUUUUGAAAUUUUUACCACGAACUACGAGGUUUUGAUCCCUCAUUUUUAUGUUGGUGCGUAGGCACAAGUUUGAAGGUCUUGUCAAACACAAAAAUAGAAUCAAUGAAUUCUUUUCUCAUACCCACACUCUAUUUUUAUCAAACAUCUUUUAUACCAAAAACACAAAAAUAGAAUCAAUGAAUUCUUUUCUCAUACCCACACUCUAUUUUUAUCAAACAUCUUUUAUACCAAAAACACAUACACACAUAAAAAAUGGCUCCUUAGGAAUACCUAGGACACUUUGGGUGCUAACACCUUCCCUCUAUGUAACCAACCCCCUUACCUGUAAUCUCUAACAUUUUAUUAGUUUUGAUUUGAAAACUUAUUAUUUUUGGGUUUAGUUUGUACUUUUCCCUUUUCCUUUGGAAACAAUAAAAGCGCGGUGGCGACUCUGGUUUUAUUGAUGUUAAACUUAUCCAUAGUUUGAUGGUCAUGAAUUUACCGCUACAGGAGGAUGCCAAGGUGUGCACCCAAAGCCAGUGCAAAUGAUAAGAUAACAUGAGGGAUCUUAGGGUCAAAAUUGGGGUCUUACAAGAGGAAAAUGAGAAAUUCACGCUAGGAGUGCGUUUAGCGCGAAUCAAGGUGGUUUAAGUUAUUUUUUUGCUGAUCGUGCUAAGUGCACUCUGAUGGGGCAUAGCGUGAUUUCACUUUUAUGGACCAUGCUAUAUAUACUUUUGGCUAGAUAUUUUGGAUCAUAUUUCACUCCAACUUUAUUUCAAAGGUUUUUUCAGAUAAAAAAUCAUCAAGAACUCAAAGUCAAGAUUUUGAAGCAUCAAUCUUCGAGUUUUUUGCCGUUGAUGCUUGUGAAUCUCUUCUUGUUACUUAUUGGAAAAGCCAACAUGGUUAUGGGUAACUAAACCUUCUUGUAUCAAGAUUAGAUGUAAUCAAUCUUACUUUGUAUGUAUUUCUUUUGAUCUUUAGUAUGUGAACAACUUGAUAAUCAAUGUAGAUGAUAAUCUUUGCUUUUAUUGAAUAUUUGUGGUUUAAAACAUUGUUGAGAAAGAUCUUUUAAGUCUUGGACUAAGUUUAUCAUCUAUCAAAGAACAAGUCUAGACAUGGAAGUGGAAUUUGAUAUUCACUUUGUAUCAGAUCACUAAUGUUAUUUGUAUUGUUUAAUAGGUUGAGACAUUGUCGAUUAAACAAUACGGUAAAACUCACAAUAUCGUCUUAGGCAUGAGUGGUAUGGUUGAGCGAUAUGUGGUUAUGUUGGUUAUAAAUGAAGUUAACAUGCUUAAUUAAUCGAAUACAUACAAAAUAGGUUGAUGAAAUCUAGUCUUGAUAUGUCUUUUAAAACAUUAAUAUUUAUAAACUUUUAUCAUUGUUACAAACUCUUAUGAAUGUCACUUUCGCCAAACCAAAACCAUUUUAAACCCUUUCUUAAGACAUUGUAAACUAUAGAAUGGCGGUAAUAUCACAUCAAUCCAUGUGGAGACAAUAAAAUAAAUACUCACCGAAGAACACUUUUCGACAUGGGUGUAUAUGCGUUACUUACAAUCACGAUCUAGUGCCCAUUGUAGAAAACUAGAAUACACGCUACCUAUCAUCACGGUUGUAUUACAUAACCAUUGUGAACUGUUUAAAGGUCAUUGGUUCGAUUCCCAUCAACUCCAUUUUUGGGAUUUAAAUUAUUCUGAAUAGCAUUCAACAAUCAACAUAUAAACACAUUUGAAUUUAGCAACCGUUGUGAAAUCAAUUUCUUUUUUUUAUAUAUAUAUUUAUGCUUUUAUACAUUUCCCCAUUUUUAACAUGUAUUUUUGUGAAUCGUAUCAGACCAUAAACAAUAACAUGCAUUUGUAAAUCGUAUCAUACCAAAAAUUAUAUUACAUCAAAGGCAAUGAUUAAUUCAUGAUUAACAUAUACAUCAUAUCAUCUAGUCAACUAAACACAAUGGCCUAUAAUUAUUUUUACUUAUAAACAAUUGCAUUCCAUAAUUAUUGUAUUGUUUUGACUUACACAAUUGGCAUGCACAAUUAAUACAUUGAUUGAAACACUUGCUGAAUUAAGGCAUGCCAACUAGGUGAUACUUUGAUUUAUCAAGCUAAAUUUUUAUCGAUAAGAAUACAUAAAGCUCUAACCUGAAUUGGUAUUAGUUUCGUGUUCCACACUUCAGUUUUAAAAUCAAUUGAAUACAGGCACCUAUAUUAGCCCGAUCAUACUUUGACACAAUACAAUUUAUUGGAUACAUGAAUGACAAUCUUCAAUCUUCAUGCCUAGUCGAAUUCAUGGAUUUCUCAAGGUCUUCAUCUGAUUUAGAAUCAGUUGAAUCCAGAUUCAUUAGGUCCUUCACAACAACCUCUACCUUCCUUAUCUUUUAAGGGUUAAGAUUCUUGAUAAGAAUCUUCUUAUAGCAUGUUCCACCAAAAGAUGAGAAAGCUAAUGACGAAGAAGAUAAGAGAAAAUAUGUGCUAGGGUUUUUCUAUCAGAGAUAAGGCGUAACUGUCAAGAAGCGAUAGCUAAUUCGCUUAUAUAUGGAUAAACAACUUCACCACGGUCGUAUUCAAAAACCGAGAUGAAAUAUAACUCCUNUAUAUAUAUAUAUAUACAACACUCAUUGUAACGAAAAAAUAGAAAAUUAUUGGAGUUGUAAUUCGAAUUCUGUCACUCCAUGAAUGUAUAAUCACGGUUGAUGGUUUUGACCGUAAUGCAAUAUUUUUUCGUAAAUAUAAAUGUAAAAAAACACGUUAAAAAAUGAGGUAUUACCACGACUAACUGGAAACUAUUUUAAGUUAGUGUUAUCAAAGGUAUAUUUUUUAGUAGUGAUGACAAAAUAUAUUUUGUUAUGUUAUCCGACGAUCAUGCCUUAAUUUUUCGAACAAGUACUUUUAAGGACAUCUCUUCGCCUACUCCCGAGGUUCUAGAACUUCGUCUUUCUAAAAGAAUCCUAACUUAAUUAGUCUUAUGUCAUCCUUUUCAUAAACAGUUUUGACUUUUAAGUAUUAAUUUGGUCUUACCCAUGAGAGCAUAGACAUGUUUGAACUUGUCGUAACUCAGGUCUGUGAAUUAUUAUAUUAAUGGGUCAGUUUCGAAUCUGCCUUGGUCUAGGUAGGAAAAGGACCCGACCAAAUUCAAAAUAAAAAAGAAUUUUUAAGCUUUUUUUAAACUUAAUCAUCCAAUAUAGAUUUAUUUAUUUAUUAUAAUUUUUGUUUAUUUUUAUAUUUCAACAAUUCAAUGAUACACAUUUCCUUUCAUCCAAAUAUACAUUAUUAUCAAUUGUGAAUUUUUAAUCUUAUCUUUUGGAAUUAUUGAUCAGCUUGAACUACUAAAUUAAUAUUAACUAUAACCUAUGGGUGGCAUAUAAAGCAAUCAAAACUAAUGAAUUGUGCUUGCUAGUAAACUUUAAUCCAAAUAUACACUCUAUCACACCAAUUGCACCGCAUUUCAAAGUUAAAUUUUAUUCAACAAUACACUUCAUAAAUUCGUAAACACAUUUUCUUACCAUAUUGUUUAUCUGUUGUGUUUUAAUCUUUCAUGUCUUGAGAGGACAAUACAACACAUUUUUUACCACUAUAUAAAGGACACUAUUGUUUAAUUGAUGUAAGGAGAGUUUGAACUUUAAAAGAUAUAAAUUGAUAAAACUAUUUCUUAAAUACAAAGGAAGAAAAAUGGCUGGAAUUAUCAAGUUUAUUCUUACUAUAAUUAUCUUUAUUUCUCUAUUGAUGGUGCCAUCCAACGCUGCAAGUAAGUUAAUUUUUUAAGAUUUAAAAAAUUUCCUUGUUACUUUGUACACAAUGUUUUAUCAAAUAUUAGCUAAACUUUUAUUCUUAUUUUUUCAAUAUAGAAACUGUUAAAUGUAUACAAGAUACGGAUUGUUUACAAUAUCAUAGGUGUAUGCCACCAAUGCUAAUGAAGUGUGACAAUAAACAAUGUAGAUGUGUUCCAGUGACCUAUUUCAUUCGUUAUGUUCCCGUAUGAUUCUUCAUAUUAAGUUCUCAUAUGGUUCUGCAUUUAGUGUUGUACCUAAGAGAUUAUUGUAUUGCUAUAUUAUAAUUUGUUUUUUUAUUUUUCAUUUCAAGAAUUUUGUAGUUAAGUUUAAUUUUAUUUAAAUCGAGUUCUUCUCUUUUAAUUUCAAAAUAUAUUCAUAGAUUUCAUUCCAGGUAUGUAUCAUGGUCAUUUCAAUCCUACCAUCUAUUAGAAUAAUACGUGUAAUAGUUAAGUUGAAUAACUGUUAUAUUGCUUAUAAGUCUGCACGUUUUUUUACAUGUUCAUGUUAUAGUAUCAAUACACUUCCCACCUUCAAUUUUCAUUUCUCUUAUAUUUUAAAUCUUUUAUUGGUCUCAUAUGUACUAUUCAAUUUUAAAAGAUAUGAAAAUAUAGAUAUUCACUAUAAAAAUGUAAAAAUCUAUUGUUAUAAGUGCAUAUUUUAUAGAAGAUUUGUUUAUGUUUCUACUUACUAACUAAAUAUAAUGUGUGGUUAAUAUAUUUUCUAUUUCAAAAGAAAUCUCGUAUAACUAAAUUGAAUUAGAUUAUGUAAGGUUAUAAUUUAUUAUAAAAUUUACAUGUAAUUUAAAAUGAAUAUGUUUCAAAAGACGUUUUUUUAUAUCUUUAAUUUUCUAUGAUUUUGUUGGGUUUUUUUUGAGAGGGGUAUAUAAAUUUGCAUUAUUAUUAUUAUUAUUAUUUUUAUUUUCUAAUUUUUAUAUUUAAAUUGGGGUGUGAGUUUUCUGGUGAGUAUGGGUGGUUGAGAGUUUCGUUAAAUUUAAAUUUAUUAAAUGAUUUAGAUUAUAAAAAAAAGUGUGAGAUAGAUGAAAAUGUAAGGUUUGGGAGAUAAGAAUUUUUUUUAACUGCGUCACAUGUAUAUGUGUGUGAUCAUAUAUGUAUUAAUUGUUUUGAUAUUACAUAUAAUUGGAUAUAAAGGUAAGCUAAUGGAUUAUCAUAGUAUAUUGUUUGUCCAUAACAAUUUAAUUUUGAAGAGUCAUAGUACAUCUUAAAAAACAACAUAGUAAACAUUGUUGUUUGUAAAAAAAAUUAGUGACAGUUAAGAAGAAUUUUUAUAAGGUUCCACAUAAUUAAUGAACUAGAAUAUAAAUAUAAUACAACCUAAGAGUACAUUAAUGAGCUUUGAAUAUGUACUAAUAUACACACAAAAAAGAUAUAAAUUAUGACAUAUCAUCUACAAAAUGAUUUUAACCUUUUGAAAUUUAUAGACCAUGACCAAAACCACCGGCUCACCUCCAAAAGAAUAACACUAAGUUAGCAUCAUAUAUGGAUUAUAAUAUGUUUGACACGCCACACACAAGAGGGAGUGACUCUUGGAUUUAAGAAAAGCAUCUUAUGUUAUCAUUUUUAAAGUUUAAAAAUAUCUUGAUUAAAAUAUUUAUAAAUUAGCAACGGAAAGUAAAUAUGUGAAAAAUUAAGAGUUAAGGGUAAGAGAAAUGAAAACAAAUAUUUAAACAGGUUCAAUCAAGAAGACUUAUUCAUGUCCAUAAUAUUUGAUCUUAAGAGUAUUCAGUAAUACUUAGAGAGUUUUGAGUAGGUUAAAAUCUUGAACCCACUAAUACAAGAAAAAAUGAAGUUUCAAAUUAACUUUCAACCAAACAAUGAACGAUGGAGUGAAGUGGUUAGUCUUCCUUCCAAAGAACGAACUUGAAGUGAUUAGUCUCAAAGCUAAAUCGUGAUUUUCUAUGGACUUGUCUCGAACCAAUAUGAGUUUUUAAUCUAACUAAAUUGGGGUUUUGACCAGACUGACCAUGAACCAAGAUGAGAUUUUUAAUCAUGCUUAUCUUGAACCAAAGUGAGUUUUUAACCAUGUUUAAAUCAUGAACUGAGUUGAUAUUUUGAAUAUGGUUGAUAUCAAGCCAAAGUAAGCUUUUAACGUAGGUUGAGCUUAAAAGCCGAACUGACGACUUAGAAACUAAAUCUCCAAACCAAAGCUUUUAAAGGGUUUAACUUUUAAAGAGUGAUGAAUGAGAUACAAGGAUCACUUUUAUGGAUAUGAAAAUGUGAAAGAAAAUGCCUCUAUUUAUAGGCUAAAGCUUUGAUCAAAAAAGGAAAUAUCCAUGGGCCUAAAUUAAUGAGCCAAAAUAAACAAUGUAGAUGUGUUCCAGUGACCUAUUUCAUUCGUUAUGUUCCCGUAUGAUUCUUCAUAUUAAGUUCUCAUAUGGUUCUGCAUUUAGUGUUGUACCUAAGAGAUUAUUGUAUUGCUAUAUUAUAAUUUGUUUUUUUAUUUUUCAUUUCAAGAAUUUUGUAGUUAAGUUUAAUUUUAUUUAAAUCGAGUUCUUCUCUUUUAAUUUCAAAAUAUAUUCAUAGAUUUCAUUCCAGGUAUGUAUCAUGGUCAUUUCAAUCCUACCAUCUAUUAGAAUAAUACGUGUAAUAGUUAAGUUGAAUAACUGUUAUAUUGCUUAUAAGUCUGCACGUUUUUUUACAUGUUCAUGUUAUAGUAUCAAUACACUUCCCACUUUCAAUUUUCAUUUCUCUUAUAUUUUAAAUCUUUUAUUGGUCUCAUAUGUACUAUUCAAUUUUAAAAGAUAUGAAAAUAUAGAUAUUCACUAUAAAAAUGUAAAAAUCUAUUGUUAUAAGUGCAUAUUUUAUAGAAGAUUUGUU
Molecule: long non-coding RNA, 35828 nt
Filed under: Lathyrus oleraceus (garden pea)
Lineage: Eukaryota; Viridiplantae; Streptophyta; Magnoliopsida; Fabales; Fabaceae
Description: Pisum sativum (pea) long non-coding RNA (PSAT_LNC019888)
Source: RNAcentral